RNAcentral lists this transfer RNA (72 nucleotides) under Pangasianodon hypophthalmus (striped catfish). It matches the Rfam family "tRNA". Rfam says of the family: Transfer RNA (tRNA) molecules are approximately 80 nucleotides in length. Their secondary structure includes four short double-helical elements and three loops (D, anti-codon, and T loops). Lineage: Eukaryota; Metazoa; Chordata; Actinopteri; Siluriformes; Pangasiidae. The record is from Rfam by way of RNAcentral.
UCCCUGGAGGACUAGUGGUUAGGCCACAGCGCUCUCACCGCUGCAGCCCGGGUUCAAUUCCUGGCCAGGGAA